AUGCUUUGGCAAUACACACAUUAAAAUUGGAAUGAUGCAGAGAUUAGCAUGGCCCCCAAGCAAGGAUGAUGCACAAAUUUGUGAAAUGUUCCAUAGUAAA
RNAcentral lists this small nuclear RNA (100 nucleotides) under Peromyscus maniculatus bairdii (prairie deer mouse). Lineage: Eukaryota; Metazoa; Chordata; Mammalia; Rodentia; Cricetidae. The record is from RNAcentral.